Molecule: transfer RNA, 71 nt
Filed under: Pan troglodytes (chimpanzee)
Lineage: Eukaryota; Metazoa; Chordata; Mammalia; Primates; Hominidae
Rfam family: tRNA
About the family: Transfer RNA (tRNA) molecules are approximately 80 nucleotides in length. Their secondary structure includes four short double-helical elements and three loops (D, anti-codon, and T loops). Further hydrogen bonds mediate the characteristic L-shaped molecular structure. tRNAs have two regions of fundamental functional importance: the anti-codon, which is responsible for specific mRNA codon recognition, and the 3' end, to which the tRNAs corresponding amino acid is attached (by aminoacyl-tRNA synthetases). tRNAs cope with the degeneracy of the genetic code in two manners: having more than one tRNA (with a specific anti-codon) for a particular amino acid; and 'wobble' base-pairing, i.e. permitting non-standard base-pairing at the 3rd anti-codon position.
Source: Rfam by way of RNAcentral
GGGGGUAGAAUUUGGGGUAGAACAUUUGACUGCAGAUCAAGAGGUCACCGCUUCAAAUCUGGGUACCCCCU